UGCCAGCCGCCGCGGUAAUACGAAGGGGGCUAGCGUUGUUCGGAAUCACUGGGCGUAAAGCGCACGUAGGCGGAUUUGUAAGUUAGGGGCGAAAUCCCAGGGCUCAACCCUGGAACUGCCUUUCAUACUGGCGAUCUUGAGUUCGAGAGAGGUGAGUGGAAUUCCGAGUGUAGAGGUGAAAUUCGUAGAUAUUCGGAGGAACACCAGUGGCGAAGGCGGCUCACUGGCUCGAUACUGACGCUGAGGUGCGAAAGCGUGGGGAGCAAACAGGAUUAGAUA
Molecule: ribosomal RNA, 279 nt
Filed under: uncultured bacterium
Lineage: Bacteria
Description: partial 16S ribosomal RNA
Rfam family: Bacterial small subunit ribosomal RNA
Source: RNAcentral